Molecule: ribosomal RNA, 293 nt
Filed under: uncultured bacterium
Lineage: Bacteria
Description: partial 16S ribosomal RNA
Rfam family: Bacterial small subunit ribosomal RNA
Source: RNAcentral
UUGUGCCUACGGGGCGCAGCAGUGGGGAAUAUUGCACAAUGGGGGAAACCCUGAUGCAGCGACGCCGCGUAAGCGAUGAAGUAUCUCGGUAUGUAAAGCUCUCUCAGCAGGGAAGAAAGUGACAGUACCUGACUAAGAAGCCCCGGCUAACUACGUGCCAGCAGCCGCGGUAAUACGUAGGGGGCAAGCGUUAUCCGGAUUCACUGGGCGUAAAGGGAGCGCAGGCGGCACGGCAAGUCUGGUGUGAAAACCCGGGGCUCAACCCCGGGACUGCAUUGGAAACUGCCGGACUG